GGUCCCGUAGCUCAGAAGGAUAGAGCGGCCGCCUCCUAAGCGGUAGGUCGCGCGUUCGAAUCGCGCCGGGAUCACCA
RNAcentral lists this transfer RNA (77 nucleotides) under Clostridiaceae bacterium. Its description in RNAcentral is "tRNA-Arg". It matches the Rfam family "tRNA". From Rfam's summary of the family: Transfer RNA (tRNA) molecules are approximately 80 nucleotides in length. Their secondary structure includes four short double-helical elements and three loops (D, anti-codon, and T loops). RNAcentral also lists the same sequence under 1 other name. Lineage: Bacteria; Bacillati; Bacillota; Clostridia; Eubacteriales; Clostridiaceae. The record is from RNAcentral.